UUUCCGUAGGUGAACCUGCGGAAGGAUCAUUAUUGUAUAGCCGUGGUGCGAGGGCUGUCGCUGACCCGAAAGGUCGUGCACGCCCGAGUGCCCUCACACACAUCCAUCUCACCCCUAUGUGCACCACCGCGUGGGUCCCCCUUUGGCUUGUUCGGAGGGGGGCUUACGUUUUCACACAAACUUUGUAUGCAGUGUAGAAUGUAUUUUUUGUUUUUGCGAUCACGCAAUCAAUACAACUUUCAACAACGGAUCUCUUGGCUCUC
RNAcentral lists this unclassified non-coding RNA (263 nucleotides) under plant metagenome. RNAcentral's name for it is "partial contains small subunit ribosomal RNA, internal transcribed spacer 1, and 5.8S ribosomal RNA". The record is from RNAcentral.